CGGCAGGCCUAACACAUGCAAGUCGAGCGGGUUUUGGACCUAGCGGCGGACGGGUGAGUAAUGCGUAGGAAGCUACCGAUAGAGGGGAUACCAGUUGGAAACGACUGUUAAUACCGCAUAAUGUCUACGGCCAAAGUGUGGGACCUUCGGGCCACAUGCUAUCGGAUGCGCCUACGUGGGAUUAGCUAGUUGGUGAGGUAAUGGCUCACCAAGGCGACGAUCUCUAGCUGGUUUGAGAGGAUGAUCAGCCACACUGGAACUGAGACACGGUCCAGACUCCUACGGGAGGCAGCAGUGGGGAAUAUUGGACAAUGGCGCAAGCCUGAUCCAGCCAUGCCGCGUGUGUGAAGAAGGCCUUCGGGUUGUAAAGCACUUUCAGCGAGGAGGAAGAGUUGUGUGUUAAUAGUACACAGCUUUGACGUUACUCGCAGAAGAAGCACCGGCUAACUCUGUG
This 454-nucleotide ribosomal RNA is filed under the name uncultured bacterium. RNAcentral describes it as "bacterial SSU rRNA". It matches the Rfam family "Bacterial small subunit ribosomal RNA", at positions 40 to 507 of the family's 1533-position model. The record is from RNAcentral.